This 139-nucleotide ribosomal RNA is filed under the name uncultured bacterium. RNAcentral's name for it is "partial 16S ribosomal RNA". It matches the Rfam family "Bacterial small subunit ribosomal RNA", at positions 353 to 509 of the family's 1533-position model. The record is from RNAcentral.
GGUGAGGGAUAUUGGUCAAUGGGGGAAACCCUGAACCAGCAACGCCGCGUGAGGGAAGACGGUUUUCGGAUUGUAAACCUCUGUCCUCUGUGAAGAUAAUGACGGUAGCAGAGGAGGAAGCUCCGGCUAACUACGUGCC